GCGUGAGUGAUGAAGGCCUUAGGGUUGUAAAGCUCUUUUACCCGGGAUGAUAAUGACAGUACCGGGAGAAUAAGCCCCGGCUAACUCCGUGCCAGCAGCCGCGGUAAUACGGAGGGGGCUAGCGUUGUUCGGAAUUACUGGGCGUAAAGCGCACGUAGGCGGCCAUUCAAGUCAGAGGUGAAAGCCUGGGGCUCAACCCCAGAAUUGCCUUUGAGACUGAGUGGCUAGUAGGUGAGAGAGGUGAGUGGAAUUCCGAGUGUAGAGGUGAAAUUCGU
Molecule: ribosomal RNA, 275 nt
Filed under: uncultured bacterium
Lineage: Bacteria
Description: partial 16S ribosomal RNA
Rfam family: Bacterial small subunit ribosomal RNA
Source: RNAcentral